AUGGCUUCAGCAGGCUCAACCGGCCUCGCUCUCCAGGCGGCCGCCGUCGCUGCCAUGCUCGCCAUGCUGGCCCUGCCUUCGUCGGGCCGCUGUCCAUCGCUGGGGCCGGCACCACCGCCACUGGCACAGGGGGCACCGCCACCCGCACCGACAUCAUUACCACCAGCGCCGGCGCCCGCGCCGGCACCGGUGGUAUCGUGUGGGGCCUGUGCUCAAUCGUUCGGGAGCUCGAUCUGCAGAUCGUUGUGCAUGGCCUCUGUCAACGAGAAAUGCCCUUGUCUGCUGGUUCAACCUCGCCUCUGCCACGAGUGCGCGACCGCCGUCCACAAGUGCACGGCCAACUGCACCGGCGACAGCUGUGACUGCGGCGGCGCCGAAUGCGAUGCCACUUGUGCCUUAUAUGUUAAAUGUAUAGAGUGCCCGGAAAACCAAAGUAAGAUGUGCCGGAUCACCUGCACGGGCGGGUGCAACGGGCCGUAG
RNAcentral lists this ribosomal RNA (480 nucleotides) under Triticum aestivum (bread wheat). RNAcentral describes it as "partial small subunit ribosomal RNA". The record is from RNAcentral. Lineage: Eukaryota; Viridiplantae; Streptophyta; Magnoliopsida; Poales; Poaceae.